AUAUAUAUAUCAAACCUUCUCUUUGUUGAGCGGUUUUGGAUGUGGGGGUUUGCUGGCCUCUUAAAAAGGGUUCAGCUCCUCUGAAAUGCAUUAGCAGAACAAACCUGUUCAUUGGUGUGAUAACUAUCUACGCUAUUGAAUGUAAGGGGCAGUUUCAGCUCUCUAAUGGUCCUCGGACAAUUCAUCAUUA
RNAcentral lists this unclassified non-coding RNA (190 nucleotides) under uncultured Cortinarius. RNAcentral's name for it is "sequence contains ITS2". The record is from RNAcentral. Lineage: Eukaryota; Fungi; Basidiomycota; Agaricomycetes; Agaricales; Cortinariaceae.